Molecule: long non-coding RNA, 906 nt
Filed under: Cervus hanglu yarkandensis (Yarkand deer)
Lineage: Eukaryota; Metazoa; Chordata; Mammalia; Artiodactyla; Cervidae
Description: lncRNA (ENSCHYG00000005416.1)
Source: RNAcentral
GGGCAGAAUAAAAAAUUACUAAAAAAAAAUCUUCUCAAAAUUACGGAAAUCGAGCGGCGGCGGCGGCUCCCCCCGCCCGCCGGCCCGCCCGCCCCCUCCCCGGCUCCCCGGCCCCGGGCGCAGCGCGCAUGUGUCCUGCUAUAAUUAUGAUUAUCAAUAAUGCAUUGCGAUUAAUCAUAGAGGGGCUCUUUGAAAGGCGAUUGGCACCGGGCCAGCGCUAUUCAAACCCGCUCGCCUUAAUCAAUUAGUUUGUGAUUUGCUGCAGACCCCUGUCUCUCCGCGCGCUGGCCCAAUAAGCCGGCCGCGGGGCUGGCUCUGCGAGCCGCGCCGCCCGACACUGGGUUAACCCUCUUCGCGACCGCCCGGGACUCCGCGGCCGGGCCGCCGGGGGCCUGCCUUCUCGCCUCUGAGCACCCGGCGCCCCGGCCUGAGCCCCCCUCCCUCCCUCGGCCCCCCCAUCCCGGGCUGGGCCGACCCAAAUUAGCAUGCCCUCCCCGGAAUUAAGCCUCCCCGGGUGGGGGGUGGGGCCGGGCGGCGGGGGCUGGGGACCCGGGCUGCGGGCGCGCGGCGAACUUCCCAACUCCGGCGCUAGGAGCGCCGGCCCGCGGGGGGAGGGAGUCCCGUGGCGGGAUUUGGGGGGAGGAAGUCCCGUUUCGUGAGUGUUUCUUCGUUUCUUUAAGAGCUACCAGAAAGCAGCCCACCCCCACCCCCAUAAAAAAAAAAAUAAGCGAGUGGGGAAGAGCCAGCCCCACGCCGGUCCGCCUCCCGCCCGCGGCCCGGCCUCCCUCCCGCUCGCUGCUUGGCUCGGCGCUCCUUCGCCCCGAGUUCUCCAUCCCCUGGAUCCCGGGCUCGCGGGGGCGCGGAGAAGAGGACCAAGGAAAGGGCCAUCCGCAUGCAGGCAUUUAG